Molecule: long non-coding RNA, 809 nt
Filed under: Apteryx owenii (little spotted kiwi)
Lineage: Eukaryota; Metazoa; Chordata; Aves; Apterygiformes; Apterygidae
Description: lncRNA (ENSAOWG00000015268.1)
Source: RNAcentral
CUGCGGCCCGCAGGGGGAGGCGCAGGGCCUGGCGCAGGGCCCGGCUGCCGGCACUUGCUCACGGAAGGAGAAAUGCUGUGGCAGAAAGUCUCGUCUCACAUGACCACAUCCGCGACUGGGCGAUCGUGGUGAUUUCUAAAAGUACAGUGGGGACGACUGGGAGGAAGUAUUUACACCAAUAAAAACUAUCCCUGAGAUCCAGAAUCUGACCUUGAAAAUGAGAAUAGUGGAAUAUGGGACCUUACAGAAGCCCCUUAGAUCGGAAAGAAGGAUAAGAAUGCUUGGACAAGAUCAUUCUCAACAGUAGCAGAGUACAACGCACUGGCUUCUCUCUGGCCAAGUAGAACAACUUACCAGAUACAGCCAGAGGCAGAGACCAGCUGGCAAGCAAGCUUCUACUAAAGUAGGGAAAACACGCACCCUGUUUCUAAAAAAACAAAGACAGAAGCUUCAGAAAUACAUCCAGAUCCACAUGUCACUGGAUUAGAAUAUUGAUACCAAUACAAUUAGACCAGAGUUAAUGAGAUCAGAAGUCUAACUGCAUGUUCAUACCUUAAGAGCCCCAUCACAUUUGGUCACUAGAAUGACUACGAUACUGAGUUGUUUAGCUGCUAUUGUAUUUAGCAUGUUAUUGAACAUAUGACAUGCUCCCCUUGCUUUGAUUGAUACCAAUCAAUAUUACCAUGGAUAACUGCUCUUUGUCACUGAAAGUGAAUUUUUGAGACAGAAGGUGUUACUGAGAUGUUGGGUAUCUGUCUUUGGAUUAUUUCUUUUAAAAAUAAAUAAAUGAAAAUGUGUAACUUAGUUCA